Nelumbo nucifera (sacred lotus) is the source of this 689-nucleotide long non-coding RNA. RefSeq lists it as uncharacterized. Lineage: Eukaryota; Viridiplantae; Streptophyta; Magnoliopsida; Proteales; Nelumbonaceae. The record is from RefSeq and is a predicted model, not a curated record.
ACAAAGUCUCGCAGGUGAACCAAAUCAGUGUCCCACACCGACCCACUAUAUAAAAGCAGAAGAAGAAGAAGAAAAAGAAGAAGAAGAAGAAGAAGAAGAGAUCAGGAGAUUGAAGGAAUGGAGGUGUCUCCUGCGAAGGUGGUGGUGACGACUGAGAGCACCAUAGUAACUUAUUAUUCUUAUUUCCCUUGCAAUUGCCUUGUACAAGCUUUAGCCGCAUUUCUUAAGUGCCUGGGUUUGGACUCUUCCUCUGACGACUCUCCUCCACAACAAGGAAAGAAAUCUGAUGUUCAAACAGUAUUGGAUCCUCCAACAACAGAACAAAUUGAUCGAGAUCUAACAUCCACGUCCACAAGGAGACGGAAAGCUAAAUCGCCAAAAAUAAACCGUGGGAGAGGUGGCCAGAUCAACUAGUAGAACCAACCAGCUUUUCUUGUUUUCUGCUUAGCUCUGUAAGGAAACAACUUCAGUAAAUCUAGACUCGUAGCAUCCUUCUAUGUGUAUGUUUAUGUCUCUCUCGAUCUGGCACCUGGUUCUAGGGGUGCGGGUGCGCAGAGAACAGAGAGAGCUAUUACCACAUGUACAGUAGUUUAAGACUUUAAGAAGUGUGUAAGUAUAUAUGUAUGGAUAUGUGGUAUUAUUGGAAAUGGAAGAGCUAAGCAGAUAAAUACAAAAUCUAUUUUAUACAA